UCAAAGCACCAACGACGAACGUAAAGAUUGAUAUUGGCCUUGAACAACCGGCUGACCUCAUUUAAAAACUACACAAUGAAAAUCCACUUAAAUCUCAAAUGAUUUAUAAUAUUAAAAAGAAAACAUCUUUGAUUUCACGUUUUCUGAUGUUUUUUUGUUUAUACGAUUGAAGCCAACAAAUCAUGAAAAUAUGCCAGAGUAAAUAUUCCAAAUCAAAUAAGCACAUACUUGAGUAUGUAUGUAUUGCACUACUACAUGCACACGGCAGCAAUAAAAGCAACCAAGCAUUUUCAUACGGAAAGAAUUUCAUCCAAGCGGGCUAUUUAUAAAACCCACAAGUGGAAGAUUACAACAAAGUCAUGAAAGCUUCAGAUAGUGAAGCAAUGCCAUGUCCGACAUAGACCUAUGUACAUACAUACAUACAGGCAUACGAACAUAAAGCGCGGUCGAUGUGAGCAAAUUUAUUUUUUUAAUUUCAAGUGAUUAACAAAUAAUCGAUAUUAUUUGAAAAUCAAGCAAAGUUAGGCGAUGCUGAAGUGUCUUCAAACGCUCAAAUCUCCGUCAAGUAGCAUUGGUAUUAUGUUUGUGUUUGUACUCUGUUGUACUUUUGCAGUACUCGAAUUUGUGUGCCUAUUUCUAAAAAUAUUUAUUUAGGUUUUGAUUGUAGAAUAAUAGAACUGAAGAACACUUGCGACCUGGUGGUGUGUAUUGUAAAUAAAUAUAUGUAUUACCUGCAAAUAAAAAGUAUAUAUAAAUACGUACAUAUUAUGUGUGUUUGUGUACAUACAUAGGUUUAAAGAUUUACCAGGAUAGCAGGCAAUCUUUCAAUGGCACAAGCGCACUGUAUAAAAGCUCUUAGUGCUUUGCCAGUUUUAUUUGAUUAUACUAGUCCCGUCACUUUGAUUUAUAGAAAGUAUUGUUUGAACUUAUUUCUACGAGUAUGCAUCUGUACAGUUCAAAAUUAUAACAUCAUAGACUUUUCUAAUGUAUUUCGUACAAGAAGGCUUCUCAACUUCUAAGCUGGCUGCUAGCUGGCUCUAUAAAAGAAAGGCAGGCACCGUGCCUGGUCAGUGCUUAGGUGACACUCGCGCCUUGAUGUGUUGUGAUGUGAAAGUCGCAAGGUAACAUCACUGUAAGCUGGCUGCCAGCUGGCUCUAUAAGAGAAAGGCAGGCACCGUGCCUGGUCAGUGCUUAGGUGACACUCGCGCCUUGAUGUGUUGUGAUGAGAAAGUCGCAAGGUAACAUCACUGUAAGCUGGCUGUCAGCUGGCUCUAUAAAAGAAAGGCAGUCUCCGUGCCUUGCCAGUGCUUAGGUGACACUCGCGCCUUGAUGUGUUGUGAUGUGAAAGUCGCAAGGUGACAUCACUAUAAGCAACUUUUUGGAGCGGGUAAAGUACCAUUGAUGGUAUUAGAACAGUAUGCAUGUAAUCGAGCGCAUUAGUGUUAACUACUCGAUUAGCUUGUUUUUAAGCAAUUGUAUUUUCAAUUAAAAUGAAAACAUACAUACAUACAUAUGUAUGGAAAAUCGUAAUAUAAUUUUGAUUUGUUGAAGAAGGCGCUGCUUUUAGUAGUCAGUUUCAUCUGGCGACUUCUAGAACGAUAAAUAGCUAAAGCAGAUGUCAGAGUGCAUUGUACAUUCAUAAGAAGUGGGAUACCAAGCAGUACGAUAUUAUAAAAUUUAGAGAUAAUAUUAUAGAUUAGCUCCUGGAUGAACUGUCUACAGAACCGCAAGCACCCAGAAGAACUAUACAUUUUUC
Molecule: long non-coding RNA, 1756 nt
Organism: Bactrocera dorsalis (oriental fruit fly)
Lineage: Eukaryota; Metazoa; Arthropoda; Insecta; Diptera; Tephritidae
Exons: 3
Source: RefSeq, a predicted model, not a curated record